Molecule: non-coding RNA, 73 nt
Organism: Bos taurus (domestic cattle)
Lineage: Eukaryota; Metazoa; Chordata; Mammalia; Artiodactyla; Bovidae
Source: Rfam
UCCCUGGUGGUUCAGUGGCCAAGACACUAUGCUCCCAAUGCAGGGGCCCUGGGUUCAAUCCCUGGUCAGGGAA